GACGAACGCUGGCGGCGCGCCUAACACAUGCAAGUCGAGCGAGAACCAGAGCUUCGGCUCUGGGGAAAGCGGCGAACGGGUGAGUAACACGUGGGUAAUCUGCCCUCGGCAUCGGGAUAGCCCGGGGAAACCCGGAUUAAUACCGAAUGGCCUCUCGCACUUUCGGGUGCGAAAGAAAAGGUGGCUUCGGCUUCUGGCCGAGGAUGAGCCCGCGGCCGAUUAGCUUGUUGGUGAGGUAAUGGCUCACCAAGGCUCCGAUCGGUAGCUGGUCUGAGAGGACGAUCAGCCACACUGGGACUGAGACACGGCCCAGACUCCUACGGGAGGCAGCAGUGGGGAAUCUUGCGCAAUGGGCGAAAGCCUGACGCAGCGACGCCGCGUGCGGGAAGAAGGCCUUCGGGUUGUAAACCGCUUUCAGGAGGGACGAAGCCACUCGCGUUAAUAGCGUAGAGGGUGACGGUACCUCCAGAAGAAGCCCCGGCUAACUACGUGCCAGCCGCCGCCGUAAAAC
Molecule: ribosomal RNA, 511 nt
Filed under: uncultured bacterium
Lineage: Bacteria
Description: bacterial SSU rRNA
Rfam family: Bacterial small subunit ribosomal RNA
Source: RNAcentral